This is a long non-coding RNA of Centruroides sculpturatus (bark scorpion), 1015 nucleotides long. RefSeq lists it as uncharacterized. The transcript is spliced from 4 exons. The record is from RefSeq and is a predicted model, not a curated record. Lineage: Eukaryota; Metazoa; Arthropoda; Arachnida; Scorpiones; Buthidae.
UAGCUAUUAUAGGUCUUAUGUAAGUGGAACAAUCUGUCACUACAGUCAUCGCGCACCGAUUUGAAUUCAUUAAGAAAGCUUAUAUUUAAAAAAAACUGCAUUAAAAGUUAGUUGCACAAAAUUUAAAAAACAUCACCCGAAAAAUGUUCUAUUCUGUAUUUCACAUAAAACAAUGAGAAUGAGAUUACGAAAUAAACUGUAAUCACCAAUUACUGAGCAUAGGUAUGAUUAUCAUAUGAUUGUCGUGUAUUGUAUUUUGACAGAAUUUAAUAAUCUCGGAGGCUUCGAUACAGAUUGAAAAGAGAGACUAUGAGUGUUUAUAGAUAGAGAAAGAUCCAAGAGUGACGGCAUACCUUACUACUGAGCAGAUACUCGAUGAAUUAAUAAUGUUAUGAGAAGUUCAUAGCAACAUUUGUUAUUCAUCCUAUACUUUGUAGCCCUGACCCAAAACACUGUUGCUAGGCGGUGCUGACUGUUACAUUCCGGUCGCCUCACCCUUACUUGACCUACCAUCCGGAUGGAGUCCAAUGACGAAGAAACGAUAUUUUGGAAAUAUAUUUUGAUUCGGAUAGGAACUCUGAUAAUGGAAAAAUAAAGCCCCAGAAAGAAAAUUUUUCAACUAGGAGUGACUAUCAAUCUUCAAGCAAUUAGGAUUUCUCGUGUGUUUUUGGCACUUAAGCUACGCUGUAAAUCAAAAGUAUAUAUUUUAAAAGGACAUUCACUGGGACAAAAAUAUGUUUCGUUGUGUCAUCCUUACAAGAUGGAAUGUGAUGUUUGUAUACAAACUGUUUAUCUUUUAAAAAGGUGAAUGAAUUUACAUUCUGUCCUUGAUGACAAAUCAGCAACGGUUAAAUAAACCAGCUGCGAAAAUAGAAAGUUUCCCGUACUGGUCAUUGGCCGAUAUCCGUUCUAUAUUAGAACGCAUGAAUGUUUCUCCUCAAGACACACGUGUAAGGUGGAUAAACCCUCCUAAGAUCACCAAUUGAACUAAUUGUCAGACUCUUUUUCCAAUAAA